RNAcentral lists this long non-coding RNA (1861 nucleotides) under Gallus gallus (chicken). Its description in RNAcentral is "lncRNA (ENSGALG00010005155.1)". Lineage: Eukaryota; Metazoa; Chordata; Aves; Galliformes; Phasianidae. The record is from RNAcentral.
GGAAUGCAGGCUGGUUCACAGUGUAAGCAGCUAAGCAGAAAGAUUUCAUUCAUCUCGUUCAUUAAAAUUCAAAUAAUUAUAAAGUCAGAGAUGUUAACUUUUCAGUUAUUACAAUACAGCUGGCAAACAGAGACUGUUGCACCAACUGGGAGACUUGAAGCCUCAUCUUUGGUGGCCAGGAAGGCGCUGUUAUCCCAGGAGAUCCUAUAUGUGAGUCUCAGAGCCACCAAGGCCCGUGAUUGGUCCUGGUGUUUUCAGAACUGUCUACUGCAUCCUGAACAUUUUCCAUGCAUCACUGACUGGGAACAUUUUAAGUUGGCGUCAAAGAUAGAGUCUGUGGGGAAGUCUGCACACAAAUAAUACUUCUUCAUUGUUCUUGCUCAGAAGUGUUCAUGCUUUUUGCAAGCUGUUUCACCCACUGUGGCAGAAGAGUAAACUAUAAAUAAUCAAUCAGUUUUUUUCCUUAGCAAGACAUAUUCUCAUUUUCAGAGCCAAUGUACCACUGGAUGACAGAAAGAGAAAGUGCUCAACUCCAUUAGCAUCAGCCAUCCAGUGGGGCCUGACUUGGCAGGCAUGUGAUAACAGCCAUGUAAGGAAGCACAGGAGAGGCCACACAGGAAGAUUAUAUAAAUGAGAACCACAGUUGUAGACAGAUAAUGAAAUACAAUGAGAUGGGCUGGAGUACACUGGGUGUCCUUUGGCAUAAGGAAACAAUCUAUUUUUUAUAAGCUUUUAUUCAAGAAAAAUGUCUUACAUUCACAUAUAUAGACCACAAUUUCCGAGAGUGGCAUAAAACAUAACUCCAAAUCUUGAAGUAGUCACCUAAGCAGAGAUACUUAUGAAGCAAGAGUUACCUCUGAAAGUGCAGUGACAGUUCCCUGGAAUCAAGCCUUUGGCACCCUAUUUUAUUGUAUUUAGCUCUGACGUUGGAGGGGAAGGUGAACAAUAGGGUAGUGAACACAGUGUUUGAGCUUGCAGAUUUGGUCAGGGUCAAUAAAAUUGUGUAGAGUGCCCUCACAGGCCAGAAGACAAAAAAAAAAAAAAAAAAAAAAAAAGUGUGAUGUGUCACUGAACAGCUUCUGGAAGCUGCACUAGCAAGGACAUUGUGAGAUCCCUAGACCUAUUUCCACCCUAUCAAACUGGAUCUGGAGAUAUCACAACUAUUGUGGGAACUAUCCUGACUAUUCACGCAUGGUCUGCUAUAAGGUAUUUGCCAGCAGCUCUGGGCAUGGCCCGAGGCUACAAGAAACAAGAUGAGAAGCAAAAUGGUAAUUUCUGUCAAUUAAUUUCUCCUUCUGCUUUUGGUCUAGAUAAGAAAUGGUGGGAAAAGAAAGGGUAAAGUAAGGUAACAGGGAAAGAUAGAGUAUUUGAGUAGAGGGAUUCUUGACCUUUCCUAUACAGAAACCAAAAGGAAGCCAAUCAUCUAGAACUAGUUCAUAAGAGCAAAUUUGCUGCUGAAGAAAAGAUAAGGAAAGAGACUAAGAGCCCAGAUGGAACAGGAUGUUUUAAUGAAAAACUCUCUAAGAAGUUGUUCUGUUGGGAAAACUUGAUUGCCAUGUUCUGGAGGCUUUAUCUCUCACUUGGUGCUCUCAAAGGUGUUACCUCUUGGGAAAUUUUACCUAUUAGUCAUGUAGGAACUCUGAGGUGUCCAAAAAAAGAUAUUCACACAGCUAACUGGUUUUGCAGAGGAAAAUAAUUUAGGUUCCCCCAAAAAGCUCAUUGUGGAUGUUUUAACGGAGAAGGAAAAUCUACCUGAAACUUUCAGGCGUUCAAGAAAAAGCCAGGGAUUUUCAGCAGUUUUACACCUGGAUCCUGGAGGAGCACCUACAGCUGGAUCAUGGAGAGACAUCUAAGAUGAAGC